ACAGACCGGGCAGAAAUGCAACGGCGCAAUCGUAAUGGCUGCGGGUGCGUGCUGGGUUGACUCCGGACCGCCCGCCGAUGAGCUGGGGAGUUUAGGGCGCGCCUCACAGGUGGCGACAGACAGAAAUGCAGUUAUUCCGCAAAAUUUCGGUAGAAACUACAAGGUGUCAACUGUCAACCACAGAACAGUAAGGGUUAAGAAGUGAUAAUCACAAAUCACACACUAUAGAUUGGAAACUUAAAUGAGAUGACCUUGAAUACAAUUUAGCUGUGAUUCAAACCAGUUGUAAUUUCAGCAAACAUGCGUUGGAAGGCGCUAAUUGUGGCCAACUGAACGUAACCGAUAACUACAAUUUCUGUUAGUUCGGUUGAACUAUGUUGCAGCCGCAAGGUUUAAGGGUGGUUAGGGUCUUUUUUGGUCUUUUUCGUUGUGACUCCUGAAGAGGCCACACGUGCGUUUCGAGGUUAGCUUAGCUUUUCCACGUUUUUCUAAAUUAUAAAAUUAAGUCAUAUUAUAAGUAAGUUCGCGCAUUUACGUGUAUAAAAUAAUUCGUGGUCGCGCUUUUGUUGCUACUGCAGUAAUUGAUGGAGCCUUCUUCUUCAAAAGUGUAUAAAAUUAAGUGCUGUGUACCAGGUUGUAAUGAUACAACCAGUAAGCGACAUCGUUUUCCUAAAGACGUCGAUUUGUGCAAUUCUUGGGUACAAAAUAUUGGUUGUCCGAAACUAUCCACUUUAUCAACAGCAGAGCUUUACAACAAGUUUGUGUGUGAUAUACAUUUUGAAGAGUAUUACCGGGUACCUGGUACGAAGAGGGGGCUACGGAAGGACGCCAUUCCAAGCCUGCAAUUAUCUAAUGUUUGAAAACUAUAAAAACGCCAACGUCGCAUUUUCUCUCAUAAUUAGGGCUGGGCAAGGAGGUGGAGGUGAGCUUGUCAGCUGUUAUGGUAGAGCCUUUGCCUGGGACUUCAAAAGAUCUAGAUUCUACACAAGUUGUUCUGCAAGAUGUCCAAUCGUCCACGUCAGGUACAUCUCCAGCCACAAGAGAAGAAGUUUUUACUCCUCCUAAUCUUCCAACGAAAUCUUCAGAUGGUAGAAAGCGGCAUGGGAUAUUACAAGCUGUAGGUGCAAGGCGAGCCAAGGAUUUAACUCCAAGGUGCAAAAAGUUUUAUGCGCUCGUUGGCAAGUGGGCUCGGCAAACUGCUGUAAAACAACACAGGAUACGCAACUUAACGAACCGAUUGCGAGAAGCGGAAAAAGUUGAAAAAAACUAUGGCCAAUGUGAAGAAUGUGUCAAGAUGCUGACACAUUCUGAUGGUGACAUUCCGAUGGCAGUAAUUGAAGCCAGACAGUACCGCCUGUCAACUUUCACAAAGCCUGGAAGCUAUUUGUAUUUCGUCACAUCAGAAUGUGUCAGUAGAUUGUUAUUUUAUAUUCCUAGAAUAUGCUAUAAACAGUUCAUUUCUGUCCUUUUACGGGAACUUCUAAAUAGUGAACUUGACUUUAAUGUUUUAAAUUGUAACAUACAUCCUACUUUGGGCAAUAGUGUUGUUGAAUUUCAAAUUAGAGUUAUGUUAUUUUAUUGGGCGAAACAAAUAAAUUUGAUUUUAAAAGGGAACAGAAACGAAUUUUUAAAAAAUAAAACUUCACGUGCGACGGACCCUAUCAAAGUUCAUGCCCACAAUAUGUACCUUAAAAGAAAAAAACGGAAUAUUUAACUUAUUGUUUUAUCAUGUAAGUUUUAUUGAUUUAAUAAUACAUACAUAUUCAGAAGUGUCUUUUUUUUCCACAAUUUCUAACCUUGCAGGUGCAGUGCAAAAGGCUUUUUGAAGUUAAUGGAAUGAAUAUUUUUAAAGCAAUUGCUACAAAACAUUUGUUUUAAUAUAUUCAUUCUGUUUUCUUCUACUAGCCUUUUCACUUGCAUUUAAAGUUUUUAGACAAUGAAUAAAGUUUAUUUAUUAAAGUUCGCGCCCUUCACCCUAUAGUACUGCAAACAAACGUUGUAGGGCGCUGACAUUCAGUUUCGUUCAAAUGCAUUACAGUUAGCCAUCUAUAGUGUGUGAUUUGUGGUGAUAAUUCCCUAGUAAAUCACUGGCAACACGAGAAUCCAGCGCCUCUGGUGCUGAAGUGCGUUACUACCACGGCAUUCCUCCACAAUUCUUGAAGCUUUGGAUUCUUAGGGAAGGUGAAGAAAUGCUUAUUGGACUGUCCUUUGUUGGGAACAUAACCACUGGUGCAUCCGGGGUAUUUGCAGGAAUAUUUGCGAUAACCAGCCAUGACUAAAGUUCGCUUGAGUAGUAGAAAUCAAAAAUCCGUCACUCCAGCCCAGAGACCAAUGCCUUUAAAAUAGAAAGAAACACCAAUCAAAAAGAUGAGGUUAUAUUAACAAAAGAAGAGAUACUUAUCUUUUUGGUCGGCGCUCAACACCAGGAAUUGACUCACUAACGAACUGUAAUCAGAAUUUUUGCUUUGAUUAAACGAUUAAACAAAUAA
Tribolium castaneum (red flour beetle) is the source of this 2489-nucleotide RNA transcript. RefSeq lists it as uncharacterized. NCBI's taxonomy places the organism in Eukaryota, Metazoa, Arthropoda, Insecta, Coleoptera, Tenebrionidae. The record is from RefSeq and is a predicted model, not a curated record. The transcript is spliced from 6 exons.